GGAGAGAUGGCCGAGCGGUUUAAGGCGCAGCACUGGAAAUGCUGUGAUGGGGUGACUUAUCCGAGGGUUCGAAUCCCUCUCUCUCCG
Molecule: non-coding RNA, 87 nt
Organism: Leptolyngbya sp. NIES-2104
Lineage: Bacteria; Bacillati; Cyanobacteriota; Cyanophyceae; Leptolyngbyales; Leptolyngbyaceae
Source: Rfam